GGAGCGAUGUCUGAGUGGUCGAAAGUACCUGUCUUGAAAACAGGCGUGCCGAAAGGUACCGGGGGUUCGAAUCCCUCUCGCUCCG
Transfer RNA from Treponema succinifaciens DSM 2489, 85 nucleotides. It matches the Rfam family "tRNA". From Rfam's summary of the family: Transfer RNA (tRNA) molecules are approximately 80 nucleotides in length. Lineage: Bacteria; Pseudomonadati; Spirochaetota; Spirochaetia; Treponematales; Treponemataceae. The record is from Rfam.